UUUUGCACUUCCUAUAUAUGGUGCAGGCCCAGGCCUGGGUCUGCGUGAGUCAUCUGUGUGUGGGUGGCUCUUGUGCGUUGUCUGCUCUCUGGUGUUUCAGUACAUUUGAAUGAGCGUGUGUGUGUGUGCGUGCGCGCUCAGUCAUGUCUGACUCUCAACCCCAUGGACUGUAAUGUGUGUGUGUGCAUGCACGCGCGCUCAGUCGUGUCUGACUCAACCCCAUGGACUGUAGUGUGUGAGCGUGUGCGCGCGCACGCUCAGUCGUGUCUGACUCUCAACCCCAUGGACUGUAGCCCGCCAGCCUCCUCUGUCCAAGGGGAUUUUCCAGGCUAGAAUACUGGAGUGGGUUGUCAUUUCCUCCUCCGGGGGAUCUUCAGGACACAGGGAUUGGCAUCUCCUUCACUGGCAGGCACAUUCUUUACCAUGGCGCCACCAGGGAAGUCUGCUGAGAAUAUACUGUGUUUAUUUCUAGCAGAGCCUUUGUGCUGCACUGAUUUCACCCUUGUCACCCUGUGACCCCACACAGGAAAGACACGUUUUUGUCUUCGUCACGUUGUGACCAGUUCCAUCUGUGAAGGACAGGCGGUGACUGUCCCAAGGUCAGGAGAGGGGAGGGGAGGCCCCUAAGAUCUCGUCCACCCUGGCACUUCCCUCCGCGUGCGCUGCAGCCACACCCAGAAGAGCGUUCGGUCUCCUCAGUGACUUCUAGGAAGAUUGUACAUACAUGCUUAGUAUCAGUGGCUCUCGGUUCCUGGGGCCUGCAUGUCCUCUCGCCUGCUUAGUUUCCUGGAGUAGGUUUCUAGGUGGCUGUGCGACAGCUUGUGCUAACACAAGCCGUCUUGAUAGGCAGUGUGGGUAGUAACAGGUGUAUAGGAGCUGACACUGGACACCGCCACCCACCAUCCCCAGGAAAGAGAAUAGUGCAUUGUGAGACAAGCUGAGAGCAGAUGGCUGUGUGGAGAGCAUGCGCUAAGCUGCACAUGGCAGACCACAGGAUGGUUCCGUGUGCACAGCUUAGACGCGCCUGACUCAGGAUUCCAUCAUGAAGGGACCCAUGCCAUUGUGGUGAGUCCACGAAGACAGCCGAGGUGGAUCCUGGGGAUGGUGCAGGCAGACCCCAGUGCUAUGGCUGCACCUUCCCCAGCCUGGCCCAGCUGCUGGGUCAGCCUGCAGGGGCAGCCAGUCCAGCCAGACCCCUCUCCAUCCCCUUCCCUGCCUGAGUCCUAGUUCCAUCACUGU
Molecule: long non-coding RNA, 1239 nt
Filed under: Capra hircus (goat)
Lineage: Eukaryota; Metazoa; Chordata; Mammalia; Artiodactyla; Bovidae
Description: lncRNA (ENSCHIG00010028890.1)
Source: RNAcentral